RNAcentral lists this transfer RNA (71 nucleotides) under Loxodonta africana (African savanna elephant). It matches the Rfam family "tRNA". From Rfam's summary of the family: Transfer RNA (tRNA) molecules are approximately 80 nucleotides in length. Their secondary structure includes four short double-helical elements and three loops (D, anti-codon, and T loops). Lineage: Eukaryota; Metazoa; Chordata; Mammalia; Proboscidea; Elephantidae. The record is from Rfam by way of RNAcentral.
GCAAUGGUGGUUCGGUGGUUGAAGUCUCGCCUUUCAUGUGAGAGACCUAGGUUAGAUUCCCAACCACUGCA